UACAGAGGGUGCGAGCGUUGUUCGGAAUUACUGGGCGUAAAGCGCGCGCAGGCGGCCCUUUAAGUCCGUCGGUCAAAUGCCGGGGCUCAACCCCGAUGCAUGCCGAGGAUACUGGAGGGCUGGAGACACGUAGAGGCAAGCGGAAUUCCGGGUGUAGCGGUGGAAUGCGUAGAGAUCCGGAAGAACACCGGAGGCGAAGGCGGCUUGCUGGGCGUGAUCUGACGCUGAGGCGCGAAAGCGUGGGGAGCGAACAGG
This 255-nucleotide ribosomal RNA is filed under the name uncultured bacterium. RNAcentral's name for it is "partial 16S ribosomal RNA". It matches the Rfam family "Bacterial small subunit ribosomal RNA", at positions 524 to 776 of the family's 1533-position model. The record is from RNAcentral.